Molecule: ribosomal RNA, 433 nt
Filed under: uncultured bacterium
Lineage: Bacteria
Description: partial 16S ribosomal RNA
Rfam family: Bacterial small subunit ribosomal RNA
Source: RNAcentral
AACGAACGCUUUCGGCCUUCCUAACACCUGCAAGUCGAACGAUACCUUCGGGUCUAGUGGCGCACGGGUGCGUAACGCGUGGGAACCUGCCCUUAGGUUCGGCAUCACUCCCCGAAAGGGGUGCUAAUACCGGAUAAUGUCUUCGGACCAAAGAUUUAUCGCCUUUGGAUGGGCCCGCGUUGGAUUAGCUAGUUGGUAGGGUAAAAGCCUACCAAGGAGACGAUCCAUAGCUGGUCUGAGAGGAUGAUCAGCCACACUGGGACUGAGACACGGCCCAGACUCAGACGGGAGGAAGCAGUGGGGAAUAGUGGACAAUGGGCGAAAGCCUGAGCCAGCAAUGCCGCGUGAGGGAGGAAGGCAGUAGGGUUGUAAAGCUCGGGUACCCGGGAUGAUAAUGACAGUACCGGGAGAAUAAGCGAAGGCGAACUCCGGG